Molecule: ribosomal RNA, 246 nt
Filed under: uncultured bacterium
Lineage: Bacteria
Description: partial 16S ribosomal RNA
Rfam family: Bacterial small subunit ribosomal RNA
Source: RNAcentral
GAUCAUGGCUCAGGAUGAACGCUAGCGGCAGGCUUAACACAUGCAAGGUCGAGGGGCAGCGGGGUGUAGCGAAUACACUGCCGGCGACCGGCGGCACGGGGUGCGUAACGCGUAUGCAACCUACCCGAUAACAGGGGCAUAACACUGAGAAAUUGGUACUAAUUCCCCAUAACAUUCGAAGAGGCAUCUCUUUGGGUUGAAAACUCCGGUGGUUAUGGAUGGGCAUGCGUUGUAUUAGCUAGUUGG